CCCUUAGAUGUUCUGGGCCGCACGCGUGCUACGCUGAGUGGAUCAGCGGGUCAGGUUGCGCGAAAGUGUUUCCUAAUCUUUAAAUCCGCUCGUGAUGGGGAUUGACGGUUGCAAUUUUCCGUCAUGAACGAGGAAUACCUUGUAAGCGCGGGUCAUCAUCCCGCGCUGAAUACGUCCCUGCCCUUUGUACACACCGCCCGUCGCUCCUACCGAUUGAGUGGUCCGGUGAGGCUUUGGGAUCUGAGCGGAAAGAGCGUUUCGCUGUUUCUGCCCGGAAAACUCAGUCGAACCUUAUCAUUUAGAGGAAGGAGAAGUCGUAACA
This 322-nucleotide ribosomal RNA is filed under the name uncultured eukaryote. Its description in RNAcentral is "partial 18S ribosomal RNA". It matches the Rfam family "Eukaryotic small subunit ribosomal RNA", at positions 1470 to 1796 of the family's 1831-position model. The record is from RNAcentral.